This 600-nucleotide long non-coding RNA is filed under the name Mytilus galloprovincialis (Mediterranean mussel). The record is from RNAcentral. Lineage: Eukaryota; Metazoa; Mollusca; Bivalvia; Mytilida; Mytilidae.
UUAUGUUCUUCUCAUAUAUGUUAUGAUGGUAUGAUACUAAACCCCUAACGGGAAGGAUUGUGCCUGAUGUUCAUAUGAUGAAAUCAUAAUCUUUCAGUCAGUUUAAUUGAAGUCUGGAGCUGGCAUGUCAGUUAACUGCUAGUAGUCUGUUGUUAUUUAUUUAUUAUUGUCAUUUUGUUUAUUUUCUUUGGUUACAUCUUCUGAAAUCAGACUCGGACUUCUCUUGAACUGAAUUUUAAUGUGCGUAUUGUUAUGCGUUUACUUUUCUACAUUGGUUAGAGGUAUGGGGGGAGGGUUGAGAUCUCACAAACAUGUUUAACCCCGCCGCAUUUUUGCGCCUGUCCCAAGUCAGGAGCCUUUGUUAGUCUUGUAUUAUUUUAAUUUUAGUUUCUUGUGUACAAUUUGGAAAUUAGUAUGGCGUUCAUUAUCACUGGACUAGUAUAUAUUUGUUUAGGGGCCAGCUGAAGGACGCCUCCGGGUGCGGGAAUUUCUCGCUACAUUGAAGACCUGUUGGUGACCCUCUGCUGUUGAUUUUUAUUUGGUCGGGUUGUUGUCUCUUUGACACAUUCCCCAUUUCCAUUCUCAAUUUUAUGCAACUUA